GCCAUAACCCAUAAAAAACGACUACAAACACUAAAAUUGGCCAAAAACCAUAUAAACGACCUAAAAUAGGCCAAAAACCAUAAAAAUGACUACAAACACUAAAAUUGGCCAAAAACAAUAAAAACGACUACAAAAACUAAAAUUGGCCAAAAAUCAUAUAAACGACCUAAAAUAGGCCAAAAACAUUAAAAACCACUACAAACAUAAAACGACUAAAAACACUUAAAUUGGCCAAAAACCAUAAAAACGACUACAAACACAAAAAUUGGCCAAAAACCAUAUAAACGACC
Molecule: long non-coding RNA, 290 nt
Filed under: Trifolium pratense (red clover)
Lineage: Eukaryota; Viridiplantae; Streptophyta; Magnoliopsida; Fabales; Fabaceae
Description: long non-coding RNA (TPRA_LNC004421)
Source: RNAcentral